ACUAGAGUAGCACUCGCAUAUCAAUAAGCGGAGGAAAAGAAACUAACAAGGAUUCCCCUUAGUAACGGCGAGUGAAGCGGGAAGAGCUCAAAUCUGAAAUCUUCAAGGUUCUACCUUGACGAAUUGUAGUUUAAAGAAGUGUUUUCUGUUAGUGGAGGUGGCUAAAAGUUCUCUGGAAUAGGACAUCAUAGAGGGUGAGAAUCCCGUAUUUGAUCACUUCCUUACUAAGCUUUGUGAUACACUUUCAAAGAGUCGGAUUGUUUGGGAAUGCAGUCCAAAAUGGGUGGUAAAUUUCAUCUAAAGCUAAAUAUUGGCGAGAGACCGAUAGCGAACAAGUACCGUGAGGGAAAGAUGAAAAGAACUUUGAAAAGAGAGUUAAGCAGUACGUGAAAUUGUCAAAAGGGAAGCGUUUGACACCAGUGUUGUUUUUCCGAAAAUCAAUUAAGAAAUGUUUUGUUUCUGAGGAGUGAUGACUUCAUCGGCUUCCUUCUCUCUUCACGAAACUUUUGUAAUGCACUUUUCGGUUAACAAGUCAACAUCAAUUUCUUUUGUUGUAAAAGAGUAUCCGGAAGGUGGCUUUCUUUUCGGAGAAAGUGUUUAUAGCCCUAUACUUCUACAAUCGGAGAGAUUGAGGUCUGCAGCGUAGAUCCUUCGGGGUUAGAUACAUUUGUGCUAAGUUAUAGCUUUUCAUAGACAACUUGUUGACUAUGUUUAGUCUUGUAGCUUACUCGCUUAUGCUAUUUUACCUACGCUUAGGAUGUUGAAGAUAUGCGCGACACG
This 780-nucleotide ribosomal RNA is filed under the name uncultured Neocallimastigales. RNAcentral describes it as "partial large subunit ribosomal RNA". It matches the Rfam family "Eukaryotic large subunit ribosomal RNA", at positions 20 to 644 of the family's 3401-position model. The record is from RNAcentral. Lineage: Eukaryota; Fungi; Neocallimastigomycota; Neocallimastigomycetes; Neocallimastigales.